Dicentrarchus labrax (European seabass) is the source of this 545-nucleotide long non-coding RNA. RefSeq lists it as uncharacterized. The transcript is spliced from 3 exons. Lineage: Eukaryota; Metazoa; Chordata; Actinopteri; Moronidae. The record is from RefSeq and is a predicted model, not a curated record.
CAUGACGUCAAAGCCCCGCCCCACAUUUGAGCGGUCUUUCGUCAGAUACGUUACUAUUACGUCCAUGGUCAACAUUUCAACUAGGUUGGCGGACUUUGUUGACUCAGACGGGGAAGAACGUGAAUAUGGAACCAUGAAGAUUUUGAUCCAGAGUCAGAACUGAGUUGUGCUCUGAGCUGCACAGAUGAAGAGGAUGAGUUCAGCAGUCUGUGGUCCACAGCCUCCUCCUUCAUAUUCCUCUUCAUAUCCUCUCUCUUCUAUAACAUGAUAUUCAGCCUGUUCAAGAUGAAGAAAUAAUAAAGAAGGAGAGAGAUGCACAGUGAGACAGACUGCAUGACUUCGUCUGUUUUUUGUCUUUUUGUGUAGUUUUAAAAAUGUGCAGAAUCGAUAAUAUACUGUAAAUAUUCCAAAUCAAAUGGUUCUCAUGUAAUGAUUGACUGAGUCAGUGAAAAUUGAUUUCUCUGCAACCUGUAAAACUCAAAAAUAUAACUGUAAUUCCUAAUUGUUUAAAUAAAUGAAUAAAUAUGUGCACUGUUGUUACAUUA